CCAAACUUGGUCAUUUAGAGGAAGUAAAAGUCGUAACAAGGUUUCCGUAGGUGAACCUGCGGAAGGAUCAUUAUUGAAUAACCUUGAUGGGUUGUAGCUGGCCUUUCGAGGCAUGUGCACGCCUGUCUUGAUUCUAUUCAUCCACCUGUGCACUAUUUGUAGUCUUUACAUUCUCUGGAGGUUGAUGAAAACAGGCUUUUAUUCAGUUGAGAGACUGGAUGUGAGGAUUGUUCUUGCUUUCCUCUUUAUCUUGGCCUUGUGAAAAUUGUGCCUUCUUGAGAGGGGGAGACUAUGUCUUUUAUCAUAAACCAUGUAGUAUGUUGCCAGAAUGUAAUUCAAUGGGUCUUUGUACCUAUAAAACUUUAUACAACUUUCAGCAACGGAUCUCUUGGCUCUCGCAUCGAUGAAGAACGCAGC
RNAcentral lists this unclassified non-coding RNA (417 nucleotides) under uncultured fungus. Its description in RNAcentral is "partial contains small subunit ribosomal RNA, internal transcribed spacer 1, and 5.8S ribosomal RNA". The stretch from base 1 to 73 matches the Rfam family "Eukaryotic small subunit ribosomal RNA", at positions 1759 to 1831 of the family's 1831-position model. Lineage: Eukaryota; Fungi. The record is from RNAcentral.